This 256-nucleotide ribosomal RNA is filed under the name uncultured bacterium. Its description in RNAcentral is "partial 16S ribosomal RNA". It matches the Rfam family "Bacterial small subunit ribosomal RNA", at positions 84 to 339 of the family's 1533-position model. The record is from RNAcentral.
CCAGGCGUCGAGCGGCGGACGGGUGAGUAACGCGUAGGAAUCUACCCAGUAGCGGGGGAUAGCCCGGAGAAAUCCGGAUUAAUACCGCAUACGCCCUAAGGGGGAAAGGUCGGGAUCUAUUUAUAGACCGAUCACUAUUGGAUGAGCCUGCGUAAGAUUAGCUAGUUGGUAGGGUAAAGGCCUACCAAGGCGACGAUCUUUAGCUGGUCUGAGAGGAUGAUCAGCCACACUGGAACUGAGACACGGUCCAGACUCC